UGGGGAAUAUUGCACAAUGGAGGGAACUCUGAUGCAGCGACGCCGCGUGAACGAAGAAGGCUUUCGAGUCGUAAAGUUCUUUUAUAUGGGAAGAUAAUGACGGUACCAUAAGAAAAAGCCCCGGCUAACUACGUGCCAGCAGCCGCGGUAAUACGUAGGGGGCUAGCGUUGUCCGGAAUAACUGGGCGUAAAGGGUUCGCAGGCGGAAAUGCAAGUCAGGUGUAAAAGGCAGUAGCUUAACUACUGUAAGCAUUUGAAACUGCAUAUCUUGAGAAGAGUAGAGGUAAGUGGAAUUUUUAGUGUAGCGGUGAAAUGCGUAGAUAUUAAAAAGAAUACCGGUGGCGAAGGCGACUUACUGGGCUCAUUCUGACGCUGAGGAACGAAAGAGUGGGUAGCAAACAGG
This 403-nucleotide ribosomal RNA is filed under the name Fusobacteriota bacterium. RNAcentral describes it as "Fusobacteria bacterium partial 16S ribosomal RNA". It matches the Rfam family "Bacterial small subunit ribosomal RNA", at positions 355 to 776 of the family's 1533-position model. The record is from RNAcentral. Lineage: Bacteria; Fusobacteriati; Fusobacteriota.